GCAAGUCGAACGGUAACAGGCUCUUCGGAGUGCUGACGAGUGGCGGACGGGUGAGUAACGCGUGGGAAUCUACCCAGUAGCGGGGGAUAGCCCGAAGAAAUUCGGAUUAAUACCGCAUACGCCCUACGGGGGAAAGGCUUCGGCCACUAUUGGAUGAGCCCGCGUUAGAUUAGCUAGAUGGUGAGGUAAAGGCUCACCAUGGCGACGAUCUAUAGCUGGUCUGAGAGGAUAAUC
This 234-nucleotide ribosomal RNA is filed under the name uncultured bacterium. RNAcentral describes it as "partial 16S ribosomal RNA". It matches the Rfam family "Bacterial small subunit ribosomal RNA", at positions 57 to 305 of the family's 1533-position model. The record is from RNAcentral.